AUUGAACGCUGGCGGCAUGCCUUACACAUGCAAGUCGAACGGCAGCACGGGAGCAAUCCUGGUGGCGAGUGGCGAACGGGUGAGUAAAGUAUCGGAACGUGCCCAGUCGUGGGGGAUAACGUAGCGAAAGUUACGCUAAUACCGCAUACGAUCUAUGGAUGAAAGCGGGGGAUCGCAAGACCUCGCGCGAUUGGAGCGGCCGAUAUCAGAUUAGGUAGUUGGUGGGGUAAAGGCUCACCAAGCCGACGAGCUGUAGCUGGUCUGAGAGGACGACCAGCCACAGUGGGACUGGGGCAAGGCCAAGACGCCUACGGGAGGCAACAGUGGGGAAUUUUGGACAAUGGGCGAAAGCCUGCUCCAGCCAUGCAGCGUGCAGGAUGAAGGCCUUCGGGUUGUAAACUGCUUUUGUACGGAACGAAAAGGUUUGGCCUAAUAAGCUGAGCUCAUGACGGUACCGUAAGAAUAAGCACCGGCUAACUACGUGCCAGCCGCCGCCGUAA
This 500-nucleotide ribosomal RNA is filed under the name uncultured bacterium. Its description in RNAcentral is "partial 16S ribosomal RNA". It matches the Rfam family "Bacterial small subunit ribosomal RNA", at positions 29 to 523 of the family's 1533-position model. The record is from RNAcentral.